UCUUAGUUCGUGGAGUGAUCUGUCUGCUUAAUUGCGUUUCAAAAUUUAACUUGAGGACCGGGUUUUGGUUUGGCUAGUGGUUCUACGAUGACUGUGAACUGUCAUGUCUUCGGAUGUGCGACUAUUGGUCUAGGAUCACAUGACUUGCCCCUGGGACUCUUUUGAACGCAACGGACGUGAUUGCAACCCCUUGUUGAGAUUAGAGAUAGUCUCGAUAUUCACUGGACAAACUGGCUGCUUUAUGCAGUCUUGUUGAAUGGUGGAUAAACUCGGGGGACUGCUGACUAUAACCAUUUCUCAAAACAGAGGAAGGUUGCGGCAAUAACAGGUCUGUGAUGCCCUCAGAUGUCCCGGGCUGCACACGUGCUACAAUGAGUGGCGCAAUGUGCUAAUGUUUAAGGGAUAAGAGUGUGGUCAGUAGAACGUCGGGAUUUCCCCUGACGUCUCCCCCGCACGAUUAUCAGCCUUCCCUUAACAGGGCGGGCAACCUUUUCAAAAUACUGGUUUGAUGUUAAAGUAUUGAGUCGUUUUUUUUGGAUGGUGGUUUGUUAACCAAUACCAUCCGGCAACUGCUCGCGAGUUUGUGGUUCUGGCGACUCAUGG
This 603-nucleotide ribosomal RNA is filed under the name Globigerinoides ruber albus. Its description in RNAcentral is "partial small subunit ribosomal RNA". The stretch from base 1 to 540 matches the Rfam family "Eukaryotic small subunit ribosomal RNA", at positions 1292 to 1605 of the family's 1831-position model. Lineage: Eukaryota; Foraminifera; Rotaliida; Globigerinidae. The record is from RNAcentral.